AAGCGAAUGACGUCUGAUGACGUCAUCCAAUAGCCUUGAAACCAUCCUCUUGGUCCGUUUUCACAUUCAUAAUUGCAGGGUUUUUUUUUUUUUUUUGCGUAAAACUGUAAAACUAAAAUUUCCUUUGCGUGUUUAAUAGCAUUUAGCAAUUGUAAGAUUUACGGUGUUUUCUUUUUUUGGUUUGUUUUUUAUAAAAUCCGAGUAGCAGGGGAAAUCGGUAUAAGAAAACUGGCACAGACUGCAUCAAGUUAGUAGCUUCCUGGAAUCCAUUUAUCUACAAUUGACCGCUGUUCUAGGCCGUUUUAUGCAGGGAAAAAAAAAAAGUAUUCUGAUUACAAAGUAGUCUUUGUUUACGGCAGCGUUUUUAAAAAGCAAAAUUUGAUCUUGCAAUCUUUGAAGUUGAGUUUUCUUGUAUAAAAAUGGAAAAGAUUCAAAAUGUAAAAAUGUUAACAUCGUAAGCAUACUGACAAAGCUAGUUAAGUUCAAGAACUUAACCGCAGACCUAUUACUGGCUCAAUCCCACAGCAGUCUUUAGAGGAAAAGAUAGCAAUGAGUUUGUCAGAGUUUGAAUCUUAAAUGACACCCCCAAAGACCUAUAUGCUAAUGUUGACUGCGGGCCUCUGACAAGUGGGAAGUGGCACAACUCUUAGGAGUUGGGGUCUGACUGCAGGUAGUUCCAUAACUGAGGAGUUGGAGAUACUGGAACUCUGUCUCAUUUCUUUCUCUGUCUCUUCUGGGUGAGAUGAACCAUGCCACCACAAGCAUAAAGCAAGAUGGCCACGAAACUGAGCAAUGAAACUGUGAGCCAAAAUAAACCCUUUCCUCGGCAGAGCUGAUUUUCUCAGAGAGAGCCCUCCUCUACAUUCACAUUCUGCUGAACUCAGUUACCACCUCAGUCCUAGACUGUGACAUUUUACACAGGGGCUGAUGAAACCACCUGACUCACAGGAACAAGAGAUGAAUCGGAGCCACUGACAUUGGAUAUGUAGUGAGAGAAACAAGCCUUCCUUAGAAGCUGUAGAGACUAACCUUCGGAAUCCCAACAGACCCCACACGUUUCCUUUUUCCUCCAGGCUCAGAGAAACUAAUUUAGUUCAGAUUAAUUGUCCCGCUCCUUCACUUUACCUUAGGUCAUCACCUCUUGUUUCUGAGCUUUCAAAUUCACUUACAGCAGAAUUCUUAUUUAUUGUUUGUUUGUUUGUUGAAUUUGGGUUGGAGGUCUUCAAGACAGGGUUUUUCUGUGUAACAGCUCUGGCUGUCGUGGAACUUGCUUUGUAGACCAGGAUGGCUUCAAACUCACAGGGAUCCGCCUGCCUCUACCUCAGUGUUUUGAGUGCUGAAAUUAUAGGCUUGAGCCACUGUGCGUGGAUACAUGGAUAGCUAUGUUUUUAAUAAUUAGAGUCCUAAAAAAUAAUCUGAGCUUCUGUUCAAUAAAUUUUUAUUGCCACCACCUGAAA
Molecule: long non-coding RNA, 1457 nt
Organism: Meriones unguiculatus (Mongolian gerbil)
Lineage: Eukaryota; Metazoa; Chordata; Mammalia; Rodentia; Muridae
Exons: 3
Source: RefSeq, a predicted model, not a curated record